RNAcentral lists this ribosomal RNA (253 nucleotides) under uncultured bacterium. RNAcentral describes it as "partial 16S ribosomal RNA". It matches the Rfam family "Bacterial small subunit ribosomal RNA", at positions 99 to 334 of the family's 1533-position model. The record is from RNAcentral.
CGAACGGGUGAGUAACACGUGGAUAACCAACCCUUCGGACGGGGGACAACCUCGGGAAACCGGGGCUAAUACCGCGUACGACCUUAUUGUCCUUGGACAGAUAGGUGAGAGGGGGCCUCUCCUUGGAAGCUCUCGACGAAGGACGAGCUCGCGGCCCAUCAGCUAGUUGGCGGGGGUAAUGGCCCACCAAGGCGACGACGGGUAGCUGGUCUGAGAGGAUGAUCAGCCACACUGGAACUGAGACACGGUCCAG